RNAcentral lists this ribosomal RNA (253 nucleotides) under uncultured bacterium. Its description in RNAcentral is "partial 16S ribosomal RNA". It matches the Rfam family "Bacterial small subunit ribosomal RNA", at positions 524 to 776 of the family's 1533-position model. The record is from RNAcentral.
UACGUAGGGGGCAAGCGUUGUCCGGAUUUAUUGGGCGUAAAGAGCGUGUAGGCGGCUGGGUAGGUCCGUUGUGAAAACUCGAGGCUCAACCUCGAGACGCCGAUGGAAACCCUCCAGCUAGAGUCCGGAAGAGGAGAGUGGAAUUCCUGGUGUAGCAGUGAAAUGCGCAGAUAUCAGGAAGAACACCCGUGGCUAAGGCGGCUCUCUAGUACGGUACUGACGCUGAGACGCGAAAGCGUGGGGAGCGAACAGG